RNAcentral lists this ribosomal RNA (2894 nucleotides) under Clostridioides difficile. RNAcentral describes it as "bacterial LSU rRNA". It matches the Rfam family "Bacterial large subunit ribosomal RNA". Lineage: Bacteria; Bacillati; Bacillota; Clostridia; Peptostreptococcales; Peptostreptococcaceae. The record is from RNAcentral.
UCAAGUUAUUAAGGGUGCAGGGCGGAUGCCUUGGCACUAGGAGCCGAUGAAGGACGUGAUAAGCUGCGAUAAGCUUCGGGGAGUUGCACGUAAACUUUGAUCCGAAGAUUUCCGAAUGAGGAAACUCACUUAGAGUAAUGUCUAAGUAUCAUUAAGUGAAUACAUAGCUUAAUGAGGGGAACUCAGGGAACUGAAACAUCUAAGUACCUGAAGGAAGAGAAAGAAAUUCGAUUCCGUAAGUAGCGGCGAGCGAACGCGGAUUAGCCCAAACCAAUAAAGUUUUCUUUAUUGGGGUUGCGGACAUAUCAUAACGAAGAGGUAUCGUAAUUGAAGAGGUUUGGAAAGACCCACCACAGAAGGUAAUAGUCCUGUAUGUUAAACGAGAAGACUUUAGAUAUGAUCCAGAGUACCACGGGACACGUGAAACCCUGUGGGAAGCAGGAGGGACCACCCUCCAAGGCUAAAUACUACCUAGUGACCGAUAGCGUAUAGUACCGUGAGGGAAAGGUGAAAAGAACCCCGGGAGGGGAGUGAAAUAGAACCUGAAACCCUGCACUUACAAGCUGUGGAAGCACAUUUCUUGUGUGACCGCGUACUUUUUGUAGAACGGGCCAACGAGUUACGUUAAGUAGCAAGGUUAAGCACUUAAGGUGCGGAGCCGUAGCGAAAGCGAGUUUUAACUGAGCGUUCAGUUACUUGACGUAGACCCGAAACCGGGCGACCUACCCAUGAGCAGGAUGAAGCGAAAGUAAAAUUUCGUGGAGGUCCGAACCCACGAGCGUUGAAAAGCUCGGGGAUGACUUGUGGGUAGCGGUGAAAUUCCAAUCGAGCCCGGAGAUAGCUGGUUCUCCCCGAAAUAGCUUUAGGGCUAGCCUCAAGGUGAGAGAUACGGAGGUAGAGCACUGAAUGUCCUAGGGGGUAUUGCACCUACCGAAGACUAUCAAACUCCGAAUGCCGUCAUCUUAUACUUGGGAGUCAGACUGUGGGUGAUAAGAUUCAUAGUCGAAAGGGCAACAGCCCAGAUCGUCAGCUAAGGUCCCUAAAUGUAAGUUAAGUGGUAAAGGAUGUGGGAUUGCACAGACAACCAGGAUGUUGGCUUAGAAGCAGCCACUCAUUCAAAGAGUGCGUAAUAGCUCACUGGUCGAGUGAUCCUGCGCCGAAGAUUUCCGGGGCUAAAACUUACUACCGAAGCUACGGCAUCANAUGAUGGGUAGGGGAGCUUCCCAUACGGGUUGAAGCAUGACCGUAAGGACAUGUGGACAGUAUGGGAGUGAGAAUGUUGGCAUGAGUAGCGAGAUGUGGGUGAGAAUCCCACAGGCCGUAAACCCAAGGUUUCCAGGGGAAGGUUCGUCCGCCCUGGGUUAGUCGGGACCUAAGCUGAGGCCGAAAGGCGUAGGUGAUGGACAACAGGUUGAUAUUCCUGUACUACCGAUAACCGUUUGAGAGAAGGGAUGACACAGUAGGAUAAGCUAAGCACACUGUUGGUUAUGUGUGCCCAAGCAUUGAGGCAGUCAAAGUAGGCAAAUCCGCUUUGAUAAUGCUGGGAUGUGAUGGGGAGCGAAAUUUAGUAGCGAAGUAGCUGAUUUCACACUGUCAAGAAAAGUCUCUAUCGAGGUUAAAGGUACCCGUACCGCAAACCGACACAGGUGGGUGAGGAGAGUAUCCUAAGGCCAGCGAGAGAACUGUUGUUAAGGAACUCGGCAAAAUGACCCCGUAACUUAGGGAUAAGGGGUGCCACCAUCAGGUGGCCGCAGAGAAUAGGCCCAAGCGACUGUUUACCAAAAACAUAGGUUUCUGCUAAGUCGCAAGACGAUGUAUAGGAGCUGACGCCUGCCCGGUGCUGGAAGGUUAAGGGGAUCUGUUAGAGCAAUCGAAGCAGUGAACUUAAGCCCCAGUAAACGGCGGCCGUAACUAUAACGGUCCUAAGGUAGCGAAAUUCCUUGUCGGGUAAGUUCCGACCCGCACGAAAGGCGUAACGAUUUGGGCACUGUCUCAACAACAGACUCGGUGAAAUUGUAAUUCCGGUGAAGAUGCCGGAUACCUGCGACAGGACGGAAAGACCCCAUGGAGCUUUACUGUAGCUUGACAUUGGGUCUUGGUACUACAUGUACAGGAUAGGUGGGAGGCUUUGAAACCAGGACGCCAGUUUUGGCGGAGCCAUCCUUGGGAUACCACCCUUGUAGUACUGGGACUCUAACCAUAGGCCAUGAAUCUGGUCUUGGGACACUGUCAGGUGGGCAGUUUGACUGGGGCGGUCGCCUCCCAAAAGGUAACGGAGGCGCUCAAAGGUUCUCUCAGUACGGUCGGAAAUCGUACGUAGAGUGUAAAGGCAAAAGAGAGCUUGAUUGCAAGACAUACAGGUCGAGCAAGGAUGAAAAUCGGACUUAGUGAUCCGGUGGUUCUGCGUGGAAGGGCCAUCGCUCAACGGAUAAAAGCUACCCUGGGGAUAACAGGCUUAUCUCCCCCAAGAGUCCACAUCGACGGGGAGGUUUGGCACCUCGAUGUCGGCUCAUCACAUCCUGGGGCUGUAGUAGGUCCCAAGGGUUGGGCUGUUCGCCCAUUAAAGUGGUACGCGAGCUGGGUUCAGAACGUCGUGAGACAGUUCGGUCCCUAUCCGUCGCAGGCGUAGGAAAUUUGAGAAGACCUGUCCUUAGUACGAGAGGACCGGGAUGGACGUACCUCUGGUGUACCAGUUGUCCUGCCAAGGGCAUGGCUGGGUAGCUAUGUACGGAAUGGAUAAGCGCUGAAAGCAUCUAAGCGCGAAGCCAACUUCAAGAUAAGAUUUCCCACCGCAAGGGUAAGACCCCAGAAAGACUAUCUGGUUGAUAGGUCGAAGGUGUAAGUGCAGCAAUGUAUUUAGCUUAUCGAUACUAAUAGGUCGAGGACUUGACCAA